Long non-coding RNA from Gasterosteus aculeatus aculeatus (three-spined stickleback), 681 nucleotides. The record is from Ensembl. NCBI's taxonomy places the organism in Eukaryota, Metazoa, Chordata, Actinopteri, Perciformes, Gasterosteidae.
AGAAGAUGGUGGCUGAUUUUUGGUGUGUUGGGUGUCGUGAUGGAUUGUGCGUAUGAGAAUGGCGUACUGAGACCAAUAAAAUAAACUACCAGAAGCAAUGACGGGAUGUAAAUACAGUUAAUGGCUUUGCUGUAGAAAUACAGGGUCAAAAAUCGGGGUGGGAUUUGAUGAAUUCACCGUUCGACGUCUCCACAGAGUCGAGCAGCGAGAGCGAGGAGCAAAGCAGCGAGGAGUCGGACAAGACGUCCAGCGACUCGGGGAAGAGCUCCAGUGGAUCUGAGGAGACCUCCAGUGGAUCAGACUCCCAACAGAAGAAGAAGAAGAAGACCAAGAAGGCGCCGCAGAAGAAAAGCAAGACGGCCGCUGCUUCCAGUGACUCGGAUGAAAACGGAAACGGACCCGUAGUUAAAGACAGCAGCUCGUCAGAUGAAAGCUCCUCCGGCUCCGAGGACGACUCCGACUCGGACGCCGCCGCCGCCCCCACGACGCAGCAGCAGAAGAAGAGCGACAGGAAGCCCGGCCCUAAGGUGAAGUCCGAGGUGGAGGUCUCCUUACUGGAUCUAGUUGACUUUUCUCCUGCACCCACAAACGCACCAAAGGGCCCGGUCGUCUCCCCGUCCCUUCUGUCCGACCUGGAGGGCCUGUCCCUGUCCAACACCUCCUCCACCAUGCAGGUAGGUG